RNAcentral lists this ribosomal RNA (1523 nucleotides) under uncultured bacterium. Its description in RNAcentral is "bacterial SSU rRNA". It matches the Rfam family "Bacterial small subunit ribosomal RNA". The record is from RNAcentral.
AGUGAACGCUUGCGGUAUACUUAACACAUGCGAGUUGAAUGUAAUUUAAAAAUACAUGGCGAACGGGUGAGUAUAACAAAAGAAUCUACCUUUGAGUUUGAGAUAGUAGUAUUUCGUAAAGAAAGAAUAUUUUUUAGCUAUAAUCUCAUUGCUGCGGAACCAAUGCAAGCAAAGUAAACAACUGCUUUAAGAUGGGCUUUUGCAGGAUUAGGUAGUUGGUGAGACAAAAGCUUACCAAGCCGAUGAUCCUUAGCUGGUCUGAGAGGACGGUCAGCCACACUGGGACUGAGACAAGGCCCAGGCUUCAAGCCAGCAGCGGGGAAUCUUGGACAAUGAGCGGAAGCUUGAUCCAGUAAUAUCGCGUGAAUGAGGAAAGCAAAAAAGAUUUGUCUGUGUAAAAACUUAUGAAUCGGUUGUAAAGUUCUAUCACUGAUGAAGAUUAUGACAUUAAUCAGAGAAGAAGCCCCGGCUAACUUCGUGCCAGCAGCCGCGGUAAUACGAAGGGGGCGAGCGUUAUUCGGAAUGAUUGGGCGUAAAGAGUUCGUAGGCUGUCAUUUUGGUUAUUCGUAAAACACUGAAUUUAUUCUUUAGAAAUACGUUUAAAACUUUAUUACUUGAGUACGACAGAGGAUAACAGAAUUUCAGUGAGGUAGGGUUAAAAUCCAUUAACUUGUGAAGGAAUGUCAGCGGCGAAAGCGGUUAUCUGGGUCUUUUACUGACGCUGAGGGACGAAAGCGUAGGGAGCAAACAGGAUUAGAUACCCUGGUAGUCUACGCCGUCAAAUAUGAGUGCUACUGUUGGGAAAUAUUCUGGCAUACAGCUAACGCGUUAAGCACUCCGCCUGGGAAGUACGGUCGCAAGACUGGAACUCAAAGGAAUUGACGGGGGUCUACACAAGUGGUGGAGCAUGUGGUUUAAUGCGAUACUACACGCAAAACCUUACCAGUUCUUGAAUACUAUACUGCAAUUGAGUUGUUUCGAUUGCGUUUUGAAGAUAAUUUGUUAAUUAUUUCAUUUUUGAUUUGUACAGGUGUUGCAUGGCUGUCGUCAGUUCGUGCCGUGAGGUGUUUGGUUUAUUCCUUUAACGAGCGCAACUCUUGUCUUAUGUUGGUAACUUUAUUGAGUAAUCUUUAAAAACAACUUUUAAGAAACAGCUGGUGAUGAAUCAGAGGAAGGUGAGAAUGACGUCAAGCCCUUAUGGCCCUUAUGAACUGGGCUACACACGUGCUACAAUGGUGAAAACAAAAAGUUAUACGAUAGAGCAAUUUGAAGUAAAUCUUUAAAAAUCGCCGUGUUCGGAUUGGAGGCUGUAACUCGCCUACAUGAAGGCGGAAUCACAAGUAAUCGUAGAUCAGCAAGCUACGGUGAAUCUGUACUUAGAUCUUGUACACACCGCCCGUCACAUGCUGGAAGGAAGCUCCGUUUUAAGCCUUUUCCAUCUACUAAAGAGUAAUUCUAAUAUCAGAGGAAUAAAUUCUUUAGUUGGGUGAUGAAUUGUCAUCUUGGGGUUUGUAACUAGGAUG